AUGACAACUGAUCAACCUACCAAGUGGAUGUCAUGGCUGUCUCUAGCAGAAUAUUGGUAUAAUUCCACUUAUCACACUGCUCUGAAAAUGUCUCCAUUCCAAGCCCUUUAUGGAUUUCCACCUCCACUCAUAUCUGAAUUAGCAAUCCCUGGACGAGAAGAUGAGGAAGCACAAGAUUUCUUGACUGCUAAACAGCAAAUGUUAGAGCAUUUGAAAGAGAAUCUGUGCACAGCCCAGAAUAGGAUGAAGCGUUAUGCAGACCUCAAACGAGUGGAGAGAAGUUUCCAGGUGGGGGACAUGGUUUACUUGAAGAUGGCACCUUAUCGAUUGGCAGCAUUCGGCUUUCGAGGAGCUCUAAAGUUGCAGAACAAGUAUUAUGGCCCUUUUCUCAUAAUCCAAAAGAUAGGGAACUCUGCUUACAAAUUGCAAUUCCCUAGCAACGUUCAGAUACACCCUGUCUUCCAUGUCUGCCAGCUCAAGAAACACAUUGGACCAAAAGCGAUCCCGAGCCCCAACCUUCCAAUGGUCAAUGCGGAUGGUACGAUCAAAACGGGUCCAGCCGCAGUUCUAAAAGUCAGGCAAAUCCCACGCAACAAUGCACCAGUGGUACAGUGGAAAAUUCAAUGGGAAAAUCUGUCAUCGGCGGACGCUACGUGGGAGGAUGCUGACUUCAUCAAGUACUCAUUCCCAGAGUUUUUAGGCAAACUACACAAGCUUGGCGCACAGCACAAGAAUCGACGUGAGGACUCGUCGAUGCUCAAGAGGGGGGCAAUGUCAGGACCUGAGCUGCAGCCAAGUUCAGUUACAUAA
RNAcentral lists this ribosomal RNA (810 nucleotides) under Triticum aestivum (bread wheat). RNAcentral describes it as "partial small subunit ribosomal RNA". The record is from RNAcentral. Lineage: Eukaryota; Viridiplantae; Streptophyta; Magnoliopsida; Poales; Poaceae.